GCAAGAGAUAGGCAGUCUUAAUCAAGAAGAAGUUGAGAGGGUGAGGUCUCUUAUUUGCAACCUUGACAAACCAGCAGGUACUGGUUCAUUGGCGUAUUCAGGACGAGGAUUCGGGGAGGAUGAUUGGACAUGCUAGAGAACGGGAUGGACUCUACUAUCUCAAAGCACCAAGUCAAUCAAACAUUACCAAAGGCAAAUCAUCUCAUUCUUUUGUCUCAGAAGUUUUUUCAUUCAAUAAAGAAAAAGUUUGGCUUCAUCAUCGCCGACUUGGACAUCCA
Molecule: long non-coding RNA, 278 nt
Organism: Vitis riparia (riverbank grape)
Lineage: Eukaryota; Viridiplantae; Streptophyta; Magnoliopsida; Vitales; Vitaceae
Exons: 2
Source: RefSeq, a predicted model, not a curated record